UGCCGUUGGGAUAUCUAAUUUGCACAAG
This 28-nucleotide non-coding RNA is filed under the name Rattus norvegicus (Norway rat). Lineage: Eukaryota; Metazoa; Chordata; Mammalia; Rodentia; Muridae. The record is from RNAcentral.